UUGAUCGAGGGGGGAGUGGGUCCUGCUGCUCCUGUGGGGACGGGAGAGAGUGGCGGGAUCAGCCCGGGAUCCACAGGGAACGGGAGCAUCCCGGGCUCCGCCGGGAGCGGGAUCCGCUGGGAGCGAGAUCCACUGGGAGCGGGAGCGUCCCGGGCUCCGCUGGGACCGGGAUCCACCGGGAGCGGAAUCCUCCCCGGAGCGGGAUCCACCGGGAGCGCGAUCACCCUGGGCUCCACCGGGACCGGGAUCCGCUGGGAGCGGGAUCCGCCAGAAGCGGGCUCCACCGGGAGCGGGAUCACCCUGGGCUCCACCGGGAGCGGGAUCCGCCGGUAGCAGGAUCACCCUGGGCUCCACCGGGAGCGGGAUCCGCCGGUAGCAGGAUCACCCUGGGCUCCACCGGGAGCGGGAUCCUCCUUGGCUUCGCCUGGAGCGGGAUCACCCUGGGCUCCGCCUGGAGCGGGCUCCGGCCGCCGCUCUGCGCGUUCUCUCCGCUGCCCGCGCAGUUUUAUGGUUCUAAUGCUCCAUCGGAACAACUGAGAUGAGACUGAAGACUUCCCUUUUAAAGGAACCAAAACAUAUCCUUUGUCACAGAAAAAGCACACAACAUCAUGUUCAUUCUGAAUAAACUCUUCAGAAAGAAUUGGUGAGCUGUGUGGGAUGGACCACAGCUGAUGAGCUCUACUCGUG
This is a long non-coding RNA of Malurus melanocephalus (red-backed fairy wren), 687 nucleotides long. RefSeq lists it as uncharacterized. Lineage: Eukaryota; Metazoa; Chordata; Aves; Passeriformes; Maluridae. The transcript has 3 exons. The record is from RefSeq and is a predicted model, not a curated record.